RNAcentral lists this transfer RNA (72 nucleotides) under Bos indicus (zebu cattle). It matches the Rfam family "tRNA". From Rfam's summary of the family: Transfer RNA (tRNA) molecules are approximately 80 nucleotides in length. Their secondary structure includes four short double-helical elements and three loops (D, anti-codon, and T loops). Lineage: Eukaryota; Metazoa; Chordata; Mammalia; Artiodactyla; Bovidae. RNAcentral also lists the same sequence under 1 other name. The record is from Rfam by way of RNAcentral.
UCCCUAGUGGCUCAGACGGUAAAGCGUCUGUCUACAAUGCAGGAGACCCGGGUUCGAUCCCUGCAUUGGGAA